AGAUUGAACGCUGGCGGCAUGCCUUACACAUGCAAGUCGAACGGCAGCACGGGGGUAACCCUGGUGGCGAGUGGCGAACGGGUGAGUAAUACAUCGGAACGUGUCCUGUAGUGGGGGAUAGCCCGGCGAAAGCCGGAUUAAUACCGCAUACGAUCUACGGAAGAAAGCGGGGGAUCCUUCGGGACCUCGCGCUAUAGGGGCGGCCGAUGGCAGAUUAGCUAGUUGGUGGGGUAAAGGCCUACCAAGGCGACGAUCUGUAGCUGGUCUGAGAGGACGACCAGCCACACUGGGACUGAGACACGGCCCAGACUCCUACGGGAGGCAGCAGUGGGGAAUAUUGGACAAUGGGCGCAAGCCUGAUCCAGCAAUGCCGCGUGAGUGAUGAAGGCCUUAGGGUUGUAAAGCUCUUUCGCCCGCGACGAUGAUGACGGUAGCGGGAGAAGAGCCCCGGCUAACUUCGCGCCAGCAGCCGCGGU
Molecule: ribosomal RNA, 476 nt
Filed under: uncultured bacterium
Lineage: Bacteria
Description: SSU rRNA
Rfam family: Bacterial small subunit ribosomal RNA
Source: RNAcentral